UGCUAGACGAGUUUGAUCAUGGCUCAGAACGAACGCUGGCGGCAGGCCUAACACAUGCAAGUCGAGCGGGACCUUCGGGUCUAGCGGCGGACGGGUUAGUAACGCGUGGGAACGUGCCCAAAGGUACGGAAUAGCCUCGGGAAACUGAGAGUAAUACCGUAUGUGCCCCUCGGGGGAAAGAUUUAUCGCCUUUGGAUCGGCCCGCGUUGGAUUAGGUAGUUGGUGGGGUAAUGGCCUACCAAGCCGACGAUCCAUAGCUGGUUUGAGAGGAUGAUCAGCAACACUGGGACUGAGACACGGCCCAGACUCCUACGGGAGGCAGCAGUGGGGAAUCUUAGACAAUGGGGGAAACCCUGAUCUAGCCAUGCCGCGUGAGCGAUGAAGGCCUUAGGGUUGUAAAGCUCUUUCAGAUGGGAAGAUAAUGACGGUACCAUCAGAAGAAGCCCCGGCUAACUCCGUG
Molecule: ribosomal RNA, 460 nt
Filed under: uncultured bacterium
Lineage: Bacteria
Description: bacterial SSU rRNA
Rfam family: Bacterial small subunit ribosomal RNA
Source: RNAcentral